Molecule: ribosomal RNA, 128 nt
Filed under: uncultured eukaryote
Lineage: Eukaryota
Description: partial small subunit ribosomal RNA
Rfam family: Eukaryotic small subunit ribosomal RNA
Source: RNAcentral
CCCUGCCCUUUGUACACACCGCCCGUCGCUACUACCGAUUGGAAGUUUUAGUGAGGCAUUUGGACCUGCCAACCAUUGGGGCAGCAAUGCUCUUAGGUAGGCGGGGAAGUCUGUCGAACUCAAAUUUC